CCUACGGGCGGGCAGCAGUGGGGAAUAUUGGACAAUGGGGGGAACCCUGAUCCAGCCAUGCCGCGUGUGUGAAGAAGGCCCUCGGGUUGUAAAGCACUUUCAGUGAGGAAGAACGCCUGGUGGUUAAUACCCAUCAGGAAAGACAUCACUCACAGAAGAAGCACCGGCUAACUCCGUGCCAGCAGCCGCGGUAAUACGGAGGGUGCGAGCGUUAAUCGGAAUUACUGGGCGUAAAGCGCGCGUAGGUGGCUUGAUAAGCCGGUUGUGAAAGCCCCGGGCUCAACCUGGGAACGGCAUCCGGAACUGUCAAGCUAGAGUGCAGGAGAGGAAGGUAGAAUUCCCGGUGUAGCGGUGAAAUGCGUAGAGAUCGGGAGGAAUACCAGUGGCGAAGGCGGCCUUCUGGACUGACACUGACACUGAGGUGCGAAAGCGUGGGUAGCAAACAGGAUUAGAUACCCCUGUAGUC
RNAcentral lists this ribosomal RNA (466 nucleotides) under Vreelandella stevensii. Its description in RNAcentral is "partial 16S ribosomal RNA". It matches the Rfam family "Bacterial small subunit ribosomal RNA", at positions 338 to 795 of the family's 1533-position model. Lineage: Bacteria; Pseudomonadati; Pseudomonadota; Gammaproteobacteria; Oceanospirillales; Halomonadaceae. The record is from RNAcentral.